UUUUGUGUUUAGCUUAAGUGGUUAAAGCGUCUGCCUCAGAUGCAGGAACUCACAGGUUUCGAUCACCGGCACAGUCAUACCAAAAA
Non-coding RNA from Potamilus streckersoni, 86 nucleotides. The record is from the annotation of a GenBank genome assembly. Lineage: Eukaryota; Metazoa; Mollusca; Bivalvia; Unionida; Unionidae.